GAUUUUAAUCUGCCGCUAAAGCGCGAGAUAUUUUUUUAUAAUUCUUUUAUAUAAUCAUAUUUUUUCUUCAUUUAAAAUAGGUCUGGACAUAAAAUAUGUAACCCAAAGUCCAAUCAAACUCAAACCAAAAAACGUGAUCAGUAGCCAAUCUGAAAUAUAAGAAAUUCCAUAAUAGGUCUUAUAGUGUGGUACAUCAAAU
This 199-nucleotide long non-coding RNA is filed under the name Brassica napus (rape). RNAcentral's name for it is "long non-coding RNA (BNAP_LNC022054)". Lineage: Eukaryota; Viridiplantae; Streptophyta; Magnoliopsida; Brassicales; Brassicaceae. The record is from RNAcentral.